This 497-nucleotide ribosomal RNA is filed under the name uncultured bacterium. Its description in RNAcentral is "partial 16S ribosomal RNA". It matches the Rfam family "Bacterial small subunit ribosomal RNA", at positions 28 to 507 of the family's 1533-position model. The record is from RNAcentral.
GACGAACGCUGGCGGCGUGCCUAAUACAUGCAAGUAGAACGCUGAAGAGAGGAGCUUGCUCUUCUUGGAUGAGUUGCGAACGGGUGAGUAACGCGUAGGUAACCUGCCUUGUAGCGGGGGAUAACUAUUGGAAACGAUAGCUAAUACCGCAUAAAAAUGGAUGACACAUGUCAUUUAUUUGAAAGGGGCAAUUGCUCCACUACAAGAUGGACCUGCGUUGUAUUAGCUGGUAGGUGAGGUAAUGGCUCACCUAGGCGACGAUACAUAGCCGACCUGAGAGGGUGAUCGGCCACACUGGGACUGAGACACGGCCCAGACUCCUACGGGAGGCAGCAGUAGGGAAUCUUCGGCAAUGGGGGCAACCCUGACCGAGCAACGCCGCGUGAGUGAAGAAGGUUUUCGGAUCGUAAAGCUCUGUUGUAAGUCAAGAACGGGUGUGAGAGUGGAAAGUUCACACUGUGACGGUAGCUUACCAGAAAGGGACGGCUAACUACGUG